UCCGACUGGAUACGGCGGAUCGCUGGGGGCCUGAGGGUGGAGUCCCGGCCGGAGGCAGGCCGGGACUCUGGCGGGUCUAGGCGCGGCUAGGACGCGAGCUGGUCGUCGGCGACGGCAGGAGAGCGGCUGGGCGUCAGCAACUCGACCCCCGUGCCGGGCUAGUCCAGCGAGGCGGACGGGCGGCGCAGGCCCAUGGCCAGGCCCGGCAUGGAGCGGUGGCGCGACCGGCUGGCGCUGGUGACGGGGGCCUCGGGGGGCAUCGGCGCGGCCGUGGCCCGGGCCCUGGUCCAGCAGGGACUGAAGGUGGUGGGCUGCGCUCGCACCGUGGGCAACAUCGAGGAGCUGGCUGCUGAAUGUAAGAGUGCAGGCUACCCCGGGACUUUGAUCCCCUACAGAUGUGACCUAUCAAAUGAAGAGGACAUCCUCUCCAUGUUCUCAGCUAUUCGUUCUCAGCACAGCGGUGUAGACAUCUGCAUCAACAAUGCCGGCUUGGCCCGGCCUGACACCCUGCUCUCAGGCAGCACCAGCGGUUGGAAGGACAUGUUCAAUGUGAACGUGCUGGCCCUCAGCAUCUGCACACGGGAAGCCUACCAGUCCAUGAAGGAGCGGAAUGUGGACGAUGGUCACAUCAUUAACAUCAAUAGCAUGUCUGGCCACCGAGUGUUACCCCUGUCUGUGACCCACUUCUAUAGUGCCACCAAGUAUGCCGUCACUGCGCUGACAGAGGGACUGAGGCAAGAGCUUCGGGAGGCCCAGACCCACAUCCGAGCCACGGCCUGGCAAAGCUCAGCCCCUGAGAAGGCCCUCUCUGUUGGCCCAGUGCAUCUCUCCAGGUGUGGUGGAGACACAAUUCGCCUUCAAACUCCACGACAAGGACCCUGAGAAGGCAGCUGCCGCCUAUGAGCAAAUGAAGUGUCUGAAACCCGAGGAUGUGGCCGAGGCUGUUAUCUACGUCCUCAGCACCCCCGCACACAUCCAGAUUGGAGACAUCCAGAUGAGGCCCACGGAGCAGGUGACCUAGUGACUGUGGGAGCUCCUCCUUCCCUCCCCACCCUUCAUGGCUUGCCUCCUGCCUCUGGAUUUUAGGUGUUGAUUUCUGGAUCACUAGAUACCACUUCCUGUCCACACCCCGACCAGGGGCUAGAAAAUUUGAGAUUUUUAUAUCAUCUUGUCAAAUAGUUCGGUUGUAAAUGUGAAAAAUGGGCUGGGGAAAGGAGGUGAUGUCCCUAAUUGUUUUACUUGUUAACUUGUUCUUGUGCCCCGGGCACCUUGGCCUUUGUCUGCUCUCAGUCUCUUCCCUUUGACAUGGGAAAGGAGUUGUGGCCAAAAUCCCCCCCCCCCCAUCUUCUUGCACCUCAACGUCUGUGGCUCAGGGCUGGGGUGGCAGAGGGAGGCCCUCACCUUAUAUCUGUGUGGUUAUCCAGGGCUCCAGACUUCCUCCUCUGCCUGCCACUGCACCCUCUCCCCUUUAUCUUUCUCCUUCUCGGCUCCCCAGCCCAGUCUUGGCUUCUUGUCCCCUCGUGGGGUCAUCCCUCCACUCUGACUAUGGCAGCAGAACACCAGGGCCUGGCCCGGUGGAUUUCAUGGUGAUCAUUAAAAAAGAAAAAUCGCAACCAA
RNA transcript from Symphalangus syndactylus (siamang), 1617 nucleotides. It is a transcript of the gene named dehydrogenase/reductase 11, with no coding region annotated. The record is from RefSeq and is a predicted model, not a curated record. Lineage: Eukaryota; Metazoa; Chordata; Mammalia; Primates; Hylobatidae.